AUGUAAAAGUCGUAACAAGGUCUCCGUUGGUGAACCAGCGGAGGGAUCAUUA
This 52-nucleotide ribosomal RNA is filed under the name Trichoderma atroviride. RNAcentral's name for it is "partial 18S ribosomal RNA". It matches the Rfam family "Eukaryotic small subunit ribosomal RNA", at positions 1780 to 1831 of the family's 1831-position model. Lineage: Eukaryota; Fungi; Ascomycota; Sordariomycetes; Hypocreales; Hypocreaceae. The record is from RNAcentral.